This 2096-nucleotide long non-coding RNA is filed under the name Canis lupus familiaris (dog). RNAcentral's name for it is "lncRNA (ENSCAFG00000051452.1)". The record is from RNAcentral. Lineage: Eukaryota; Metazoa; Chordata; Mammalia; Carnivora; Canidae.
AGAACCACUAAAUGAAUUCAAUAAAGUUAUAGGAUAUAAAACCAAUACACAAAAAUCUGUUGUGUUUCUAUUCAAUAAUAAUAAACUAUCAGAGAGAUUAAGAAAACAAUACCAUUUGUAAUUACACCAAAGAGAUUAACAUACCCAGAAAUAAAUUUAACUAAGGAGGUAAAAGAUCUAUAUAUUGAAGACUGUAAGACAUUAAUGAAAGAAACUGAAGACAAGUAAAUGGAGAUAUUCAAUGUUCACGAAUUGGAAGAAUUCAUAUUGUUAAAAUGUCCAUACUACUUGAAGCAAUCUACAGAUUCAAUGAAAUUCCUGUUAAGAUUCCAAUGACUUGGGAUCCCUGGAUGGCGCAGAGGUUUAGCGCCUGCCUUUGGCCCAGGGCGUGAUUCUGGAGACCCGGGAUCAAAUCCCACGUCGGGCUCCCGGUACAUGGAGCCUGCUUCACCUUCUGCCUAUGUCUCUGCCUCUCUCUCUCUCUCUCUCUGUGACUAUCAUAAAUAAAUAAAAAUUAAAAAAAAAAAAAGAUUCCAAUGACUUGGGAAACUUUUGCAUUGGGUGGGAAAUGGAAUCAUGGAUUCAACAGGCCAUAGUGGCACACUCACUCUUUGUCCUUUCACUUUGCAUCAGUACCUAUUGUUUCUCCUUUCAAGAAUAGGAUUUUUUCCAUCUGAAAGAAUUAUCCUAGAAUAAAAUUUUAAAAAUUCCAAUGUCAGCUUCAGUUGAGAAACAGCCUUCUGCAGUCUCCUCUGCAAAUGGGCUCCAUGGCCAUCCCCACCACUUGUGAUCACCCACCAAGGCCUGCAUGGUGUCACCGCCGAGGUUUCCACCAGCCCACAAGUGACAGCAGCUCACUCCUGGCUAUUGCUGGUGCCAACUAGGCUCCACUUCCAAUAACUGCUUCUGCAGAAGUGCAGAGUAGGCUGGGGAAGCCAUCCCUCACCACCCAAGUCUCUGCAAGGCUGACCUGGGUCACUGGUGGGCAAGCUUCUUUUUCAGGAAGUCCGCUUUCCCAUUCAUGGCUACAGUGUUCAAGUCCCCAGAAAGUUCAGAAUCUUCUCAGGCCUCCAAUAGCAUGAUCACCUGUAACUUGUUCUGGGAGCCAUGAGGAAGCAGCCUGGUGGCCAGCCUGGCAAAGCCAACACCAGGCUCCAGGAGGUGCUAGGCCCAUCAGUGAGUGCCCUUCCAUUCCCCUCCUCUCCUUCCCCUUAGAUUAGGCAGGCUGCACCAAGCAGAAGCAGUUGGGUUCUUUUAUAUCAAAAUAGUAAAACACCAAAAGGAAGAUGAGAGAAUCCCAUUCUUUUUUUUUUUUUUUUCCCAUUCUUUUUUAUCUAAGCCAUCCACAAGCCUUCCUGAUACCCUGGAACCAUGUGCCUUGCACCAAGUGAAAAAUAAACUCCAAGCAGCCAUUUGAAAAAAAAAAUUCUAAUGGCAUUUUUCACAGAAAUAGAACAAUUUUAAAAUUUGCAUAGAACCAUAAAAGACCCUGAAUAGACAAAGGAAUCUUGAAAAAGAAGACCAAAGCUGAAGUCAUCAUGCUCCUUGAUUUCAAACUAUAUUAUAAAAUUACAGUAAUUAAGAGUAUGUCAUUGGCAUAACAUUCACAUAGAACAGUGAAACAAAAUAGCCCAGAAAAAAGCCCACCCAUAUAUGGCCAAUUAAUUUAUGACAAAGGACCCAAGAAUAUAUAGUGGGAAAAAGUCUCUUCUAUAAAGGUGUUGGGAAAAGUAGACAGUCAUAUGCAAAAUAAUGAACCUGGACCACUAUGUUAUACCAUAUACAAAGAUUUGGAUUAGACUUGAAUGUGAGGCCUGAAAUGUAAAACUCCCAAAAGAAAACCCAGGCAGUAAGCCUCUUGAUGUAGGUCUUGGCAGUGAUUUCUUGAAUCUGAUACCAAAAGCAAAAGUAAAUAAGUGGGCCUGCAUCAAAUUAAAAAGCUUUUGCAGACCAAAGGAAACUAUCAACAAAAUGAAAAGGCAACAUAUAGAAUGGGAAAAGAUAUUUGCAAAUCACAUUAUCUGAUUAAUGUCUAAUAUCCAAAAUACAUAAGGAACUCAUACUACUCAAUAGCAAGACAAAAAAAAAAAAAAAAA